This 506-nucleotide long non-coding RNA is filed under the name Mytilus galloprovincialis (Mediterranean mussel). The record is from RNAcentral. Lineage: Eukaryota; Metazoa; Mollusca; Bivalvia; Mytilida; Mytilidae.
AUAUUCAGGACGAGAACAAGUUCACAAUAAAUACAAUAGGUAGGUUGAUAUAAUAGAGGCCAUCUUGGAUGAUGGUCGGGGAAAUUUGGACUGCCACUGGAAAAUGAGGGUAUAUUGGAUAGGGACAGAAAUUUUGCCUUGCAACAGGCCACCUACGGACCCCUCAAAGAGUUGUUGCAAGGGUUCUUAACGUGCAAAGAGCGUGGCACUCUCUUUACACGAUGCAUCGGAUUUAACGUCCCAUUCUGACCGGACUUGACUGCGAACUUGAUACAUCCCGCACAGCCAAACGGACGCCCCACUUCAGCAAGCGUUUUACUGCCGGUCGGGAGAAGACCAAGUGACCAUAUUUCUAGACCCCAGUCACCCUUGGGGAUUACUCUUAUACAAGAGUUACUUGUAAGAAUUAUAACACUCACUGCCAAGUUGAUUGCAGUUAUUGCUACUUUAGUGAUGAAUAUGAAAUAUUAUAAUAAACACAACAGUUGGGUGCACUGACACCUACC